GAUGAACGCUAGCGGGAGGCCUAACACAUGCAAGCCGAGCGGUAUUGUUUCUUCGGAAAUGAGAGAGCGGCGUACGGGUGCGUAACACGUGUGCAACCUGCCUUUAUCUGGGGGAUAGCCUUUCGAAAGGAAGAUUAAUACUCCAUAAUAUAUUGAACGGCAUCGUUUAAUAUUGAAAGCUCCGGCGGAUAGAGAUGGGCACGCGCAAGAUUAGCUAGUUGGUGAGGUAACGGCUCACCAAGGCGAUGAUCUUUAGGGGGCCUGAGAGGGUGAUCCCCCACACUGGUACUGAGACACGGACCAGACUCCUACGGGAGGCAGCAGUGAGGAAUAUUGGUCAAUGGGUGCAAGCCUGAACCAGCCAUCCCGCGUGAAGGACGACUGCCCUAUGGGUUGUAAACUUCUUUUGUAUGGGGAUAAACCUACCCUCGAGAGGGUAGCUGAAGGUACUAUACGAAUAAGCACCGGCUAACUCCGUG
This 479-nucleotide ribosomal RNA is filed under the name uncultured bacterium. RNAcentral's name for it is "partial 16S ribosomal RNA". It matches the Rfam family "Bacterial small subunit ribosomal RNA", at positions 28 to 507 of the family's 1533-position model. The record is from RNAcentral.